AGAGUUUGAUCCUGGCUCAGGACGAACGCUGGCGGCGUGCCUAAUACAUGCAAGUAGAACGCACAGUUUAUACCGUAUCUUGCUACACCAUAUACUGUGAAUUGCGAACGGGUGAGUAACGCGUACGUAACCUGCCUAUUAGAGGGGGAUAACUAUUGAAAACGAUAGCUAAUACCGCAUAACAGUAUGUAACACAUGUUAGAUGCUUGAAAGAUGCAAUUGCAUCGCUAGUAGAUGGACCUGCGUUGUAUUAGCUAGUAGGUAGGGUAAAGGCCUACCUAGGCAACGAUACAUAGCCGACCUGAGAGGGUGAUCGGCCACACUGGGACUGAGACACGGCCCAGACUCCUACGGGAGGCAGCAGUAGGGAAUCUUCGGCAAUGGGGGGAACCCUGACCGAGCAACGCCGCGUGAGUGAAGAAGGUUUUCGGAUCGUAAAGCUCUGUUGUUAAGGAAGAACGAGUGUGGGAAUGGAAAGUUCAUACUGUGACGGUACUUAACCAGAAAGGGACGGCUAACUACGUGCCAGCAGCCGCGGUAAUACGUAGGUCCCGAGCGUUGUCCGGAUUUAUUGGGCGUAAAGCGAGCGCAGGCGGUUAGAAAAGUCUGAAGUGAAAGGCAGUGGCUCAACCAUUGUAGGCUCUGGAAACUGUUUAACUUGAGUGCAGAAGGGGAGAGUGGAAUUCCAUGUGUAGCGGUGAAAUGCGCAGAGAUAUGGAGGAACACCAGUGGCGAAGGCGACUUUCUGGUCUGUAACUGACGCUGAUGUGCGAAAGCGUGGGGAUCAAACAGGAUUAGAUACCCUGGUAGUCCACGCCGUAAACG
This 825-nucleotide ribosomal RNA is filed under the name uncultured bacterium. Its description in RNAcentral is "bacterial SSU rRNA". It matches the Rfam family "Bacterial small subunit ribosomal RNA", at positions 8 to 808 of the family's 1533-position model. The record is from RNAcentral.